RNAcentral lists this ribosomal RNA (291 nucleotides) under Triticum aestivum (bread wheat). Its description in RNAcentral is "partial small subunit ribosomal RNA". The record is from RNAcentral. Lineage: Eukaryota; Viridiplantae; Streptophyta; Magnoliopsida; Poales; Poaceae.
AUGAAGGUCCAGCCUUCUGUUGCAGAAAAGGUAAGCCUUGGAGUUACCCUUGACAAUCGGGUCAACACCGCGGCAAGAACUAGUGUAUACACCUUCCGUGCUCACGGCCAGUUGUACCACCGUCUAAAGCAUCUAGUACCAGGUGAUCACGGAUGCAGGAAUUUGCAGCUGUACAUUUAUGAUAUAGAUGAAUCCUUGGAACAUAGGGUGAAACGCUCUCCAGAUCUAGAUAUCAACCUCAUACGCAAGAUUCUGCGUAUACUGGAGAACAACCCGUAUGUCAAGACUUAA